Molecule: ribosomal RNA, 253 nt
Filed under: uncultured bacterium
Lineage: Bacteria
Description: partial 16S ribosomal RNA
Rfam family: Bacterial small subunit ribosomal RNA
Source: RNAcentral
UACAGAGGUCUCAAGCGUUGUUCGGAUUCAUUGGGCGUAAAGGGCGCGUAGGCGGCCUGCUAAGUCGGAUGUGAAAUCCCUCGGCUCAACCGAGGAACUGCAUCCGAUACUGGCGGGCUUGAAUCCGGGAGAGGGAUGUGGAAUUCCAGGUGUAGCGGUGAAAUGCGUAGAUAUCUGGAGGAACACCGGUGGCGAAGGCGGCAUUCUGGACCGACAUUGACGCUGAGGAGCGAAAGCCAGGGGAGCAAACGGG